GCGGCGUGAUCGGGCAGGGCGGGACGCGGCACGUGUUUUGGUCGGAGCGAGGGGCGGGGCCUGAGGCCCUGGAAAGCCCCGAGAAAACGCCGCCCCCUCCGGGAAGUCCUCGAGCCUGCAGGAGACAUCUAGCCCGCUGUCCAGGGCACCUUUUUUUUUCUCCCUAUAUUUCGGUUGCUCGCGUCUCUUGGUGUGGUUUGCCCACGUCUGCAGCGCCAGGUUCGUGGAGAGCAGGAACCAUGCUGUUUAUUUUCGUCGCCGCAGCCUUCAGCUCAGCGAGGAGCCACCCCUCCUCCGUCUGUUCACUGCGCGCGCCUUUGCUGAGCUGUGAUGCGGGUUGGCGCUCAGUGCAAGGGGCAGAGGCCGCAGUGAGGAAUCCUCCUUUUUUAAAAGCUCCAUCCAGGGAGCGGGAGCAGAGAGAGAAUCCCGGCACCCCGGGGCUUUGCUCUGAGCGAGAGAAUUCUGGUCUUAGGGGAACGGGCUGGGCCCCACCACUCACAUGAGCAGGACUCUGGUCCCCACUUGUUCCUUCGGGGCCCACUCGGGUUGGGCAGAGGGGUUGAC
Molecule: long non-coding RNA, 564 nt
Filed under: Homo sapiens (human)
Lineage: Eukaryota; Metazoa; Chordata; Mammalia; Primates; Hominidae
Description: non-protein coding lnc-CYS1-1:3
Source: RNAcentral